RNAcentral lists this non-coding RNA (28 nucleotides) under Rattus norvegicus (Norway rat). The record is from RNAcentral. Lineage: Eukaryota; Metazoa; Chordata; Mammalia; Rodentia; Muridae.
UGAGAGUGGAUCGAGCUACCACUGCUGA